GGAGAGAUGCAAGAGUGGUUUAAUUGGCAGUCCUGGAAAGACUGUGUACCGCAAGGUACCGCGAGUUCGAAUCUCGCUCUCUCCGCCA
Molecule: transfer RNA, 88 nt
Filed under: Candidatus Dojkabacteria bacterium
Lineage: Bacteria
Description: tRNA-Ser
Rfam family: tRNA
About the family: Transfer RNA (tRNA) molecules are approximately 80 nucleotides in length. Their secondary structure includes four short double-helical elements and three loops (D, anti-codon, and T loops). Further hydrogen bonds mediate the characteristic L-shaped molecular structure. tRNAs have two regions of fundamental functional importance: the anti-codon, which is responsible for specific mRNA codon recognition, and the 3' end, to which the tRNAs corresponding amino acid is attached (by aminoacyl-tRNA synthetases). tRNAs cope with the degeneracy of the genetic code in two manners: having more than one tRNA (with a specific anti-codon) for a particular amino acid; and 'wobble' base-pairing, i.e. permitting non-standard base-pairing at the 3rd anti-codon position.
Source: RNAcentral